Molecule: long non-coding RNA, 1510 nt
Filed under: Homo sapiens (human)
Lineage: Eukaryota; Metazoa; Chordata; Mammalia; Primates; Hominidae
Description: HSALNT0287677
Source: RNAcentral
AGCCUGUGGCCCCACUGGUUUUUCCCACUAGUAGUGGUGUUAGGGGGUGCAAAUGGCAUUUUCCAGUACUGAGGCCAACCCCUGUAUAUUGUCCCCUCUCCUGACCACUUUGAGACACACCUGCACCAAGUGCGCCUGGGCGUCUGGGAGCUGGGGUGGAGGUGGGAGGGAGGGCUGGGAAGGGGGAACCCAUACAGACCCCUCCCUGCACGGGCCCCAUUCAAGACGGGCUUGAAGUUGUCCUUCUGGUCCCCCUGCCCCACUGGAAAGCAAGUUCCCAGGCACGGAAUUCCAUCAAUAAUUGACUCUCUCUCCACUAAGGGCCAUUGAGCUGGGUUGUCUGGGUUCAUUCCUUAAUCUUCAGAGCUCAGGGAAACUGAGUCAGAGUGACCAGUGGUCAAUUCCAGCAGAAAGAGUGUCAGGAGGUGGGUGCCGUGUCUUCCAGCCCUAGCUUUUCCCUAUUUAGAGGAAACAAGGAAUGGGCGUGUAGAGGGUUCUUGUCCCUAGAACAUAGUAUCAACCGCCAGAUGUCGCCCGAUCCCAAAGCCACCAGAUCGGGCAGUCCUGGGAAGCCAAAAUCCAGCUCUUUCAUAUUUUCCCUUAUUUGGAGUAGAUUCUUGGAUGUUAGGCACACCCCGCCCACCACACCACCCCUGGCCCUCAGACCCCAGGCCAGACCCUCCCACUGGGAGGUAUAGCCCAAGCCCAGGAGCUGUUCAGCUGGGAUCCCUAAGGAGCUGUUUCCAGGCCUGCGUAGCCAGGGGGCGCAGGAGGGAAGGAAGCCGCAGACUGGCAAGGUGAGAAGAGACCUGUGCUGGCAAGUCCAGGUGCGGCAGGUGAGGUCGCCCAUUCCCAAGCUCCCACCUUGACGGUGCACUCGGAGCACUUACAAAUGGGUCUGCCAGUGGAUUUUAACCUAUUUUGCCUGGCCCCAGGUGGCACGGGAAUCUGGGGACAUUGUUGGUUAUAUCCUGGCUGGCAGUGCGCAUCCAACUCAGAGCCAACCUGGCAUAGGGCCCAGGGCCCAACCAAGGAACCUGGCCUGGUCUCAUCCUCACCAUGGCCCCCAUGGAGUAGAGCAGCCCCAGAACCAGCUCCCCUGUGCCCAAAGCAGCUGGUGCCCUGUGGACUCGAGCCAGCAAGGGACACGCUGUCCCCCUCCCAGUGGGCACACUGGCUGAGAAGUGUCCUUCCAGGUGGCCACUCGCCCUGAGUCCACACAAGUUCCUGGUGUCAGGGCCCUUCUCUCUCAGGCAUGCAGUGGUCCGUUCAUGGGCAAGUGCCCAGACACCCUCUCUCUCUCGGGGACCCCCCAUGGCCUCAGGCUCCCACAUUCGUGGGCACAGACAUGGCUCGUGGGUCAACUAGGGAAGCUAUUCUCUGGACACUCACUCCCAGAUGCCAGGGGAGCCUCCAUCGGCUCACGCAUCCCAGCUGAACCUGGCCCGGACCUGGGCGCGAGCUGGCGCCUGCGUUUUCCGGCCUCUCUGCCCGCCUUCUCCAACCCCGC